RNAcentral lists this ribosomal RNA (397 nucleotides) under uncultured bacterium. RNAcentral describes it as "partial 16S ribosomal RNA". It matches the Rfam family "Bacterial small subunit ribosomal RNA", at positions 523 to 918 of the family's 1533-position model. The record is from RNAcentral.
AUACGUAGGGGGCGAGCGUUGUCCGGAAUGAUUGGGCGUAAAGGGCGCGUAGGCGGCGCGGUAAGUCUGGAGUGAAAGUCCUGCUUUCAAGGUGGGAAUUGCUUUGGAUACUGCCGCGCUUGAGUGCAGGAGAGGUUAUCGGAAUUCCCGGUGUAGCGGUGAAAUGCGUAGAGAUCGGGAGGAACACCAGUGGCGAAGGCGGGUAACUGGACUGCAACUGACGCUGAGGCGCGAAAGUGUGGGGAGCAAACAGGAUUAGAUACCCUGGUAGUCCACACUGUAAACGAUGAAUGCUAGGUGUAAGAGGUAUCGACCCCUUUUGUGCCGGAGUCAACACAAUAAGGAUUCCGCCUGGGGAGUACGGCCGCAAGGUUGAAACUCAAAUGAAUUGACGGGG